This 94-nucleotide transfer RNA is filed under the name Nitrospirota bacterium. RNAcentral's name for it is "Nitrospirae bacterium (groundwater metagenome) tRNA-Ser". It matches the Rfam family "tRNA". From Rfam's summary of the family: Transfer RNA (tRNA) molecules are approximately 80 nucleotides in length. Their secondary structure includes four short double-helical elements and three loops (D, anti-codon, and T loops). Lineage: Bacteria; Pseudomonadati; Nitrospirota. The record is from RNAcentral.
GGAGAGGUGGCCGAGUCGGCCUAAGGCGCUCGUUUGCUAAACGAGUGUAGGGCCAAAAGCUCUACCGAGGGUUCGAAUCCCUCCCUCUCCGCCA